Molecule: long non-coding RNA, 1241 nt
Filed under: Canis lupus familiaris (dog)
Lineage: Eukaryota; Metazoa; Chordata; Mammalia; Carnivora; Canidae
Description: lncRNA (ENSCAFG00845012589.1)
Source: RNAcentral
GCUCCCCGAAGCCCCCAGGAACCCCCGCAGCCUGGCUCUCGGCCGACCCUCUUCGGGACACCGUGUCAUGUUGCGUUCACUGAUCCGUAUGAUGGCAUGUCCGGCACCACCAGUGACGGCAGGUUCGCUGCUCCGUGUGAUGACGCCUUCCCCGCUCCACGGAGUGCUAGCCUGCGUGUUCGUCGUGCUGAGAGGUCACAGAGGGAAAGGGAGCCUUGGAGCAAUGCCCCGGGGGAUAGAGGCCAGAAUGUUCCAGGUGGAAAAAAUCUGUGCUCCAGGUGGUGACAGCAGUGAAAUCUGGCCACACCAGGGAGUGUCUGCUGCGGGGAGCCUCGGCCAGGCCACCGUCGGGCCUCCCUCCAGCCUGCUGGGCAGUAGCCCCCCUUCCCACGUCCACGCUCCGUGGGCCGCGGUUUCCUGUAGAGAAGCAGAGAAGCUCUGCCAGCCAGAAUAGUACACUCCCCACCCCCCAAUGCCUACACCCAAAUCUCUGGGGCUGUGCCUAUGAAAUCGUUACUUUACCUGACAGAGGGGCCUUUGCAGAUGGCAUUAAGGUGACUAAGCAGUGGGCCCAUGCGGAGAUUAUUCUGGAUGAUGCAGACAACUUUCUUUGAUUGGGAUCAGAGAGAUCGGCUCCCCCCUUCCCCCAAGAGGAAUCAGCCUCCAGUGUGAGAAGGGUUUAGUGUGCUGCUGGUUCCCACAUGUAGGGACCCAGGCAUGAGGACCGGAGGCAGAAAGGUGGCCCCUGCUGACUGCCAGCAAGGAAAAGGACCCUCAAUCCUCAACCACAGGAGACCAAAUUCAUCCGAGGGCGUGGAUGAGUGAACUUGGAAGAUGGCCCUCCCCACAGCCUCCCAGUUAAGAGCCAACACCUUGAAUCCAGCCCACAGAAGCUGGGAUGGAGGCCCCGGCUGUGGCACGUCUGACCUGGAGACUGAGACAGUGCAUGUGUGCUAUUUGGAGCCACCGUGUUGGGGCAUCUGGGUGGCUCAGUGGCUGAGCGUCUGCCCUCCGCUCAGGGCGUGAUCCCGGGGUCCUGGGAUCGAGCCCCACAUCGGGUUCCCCACGGGAAGGCUGCUUCUCCCUCUGCCUAUGUCUCUGCCUCUCUCUGUGUGUCUCUCAUGAAUAAAUAAAUAAAAUCUUAAAAAAAGAAAUGAAGCCACCGUGUCUGUAGUGAUUUGUUUGUACAGUUGUAGAAAGCUCAUGCAGACACAGUGCUUGGGGAGCACAGGUUCCAGACC